This 540-nucleotide unclassified non-coding RNA is filed under the name Hevea brasiliensis (rubber tree). Lineage: Eukaryota; Viridiplantae; Streptophyta; Magnoliopsida; Malpighiales; Euphorbiaceae. The record is from RNAcentral.
GGCCUAUCUUAUGAAUUUUAGUCGAUAAUAGUUAUUUUGACAGGCGGGUUUGCUUAGGUUUAUAUAUAUAUCAUGUAGAAUACAGGCUAGCAGGUAGAUGGCAUUUUGGUCUCAUUUUUUGUGGGGCAUAUGCAAAUCUUAGCAGUUGCGAAUGUUCUGAACUGUAGGAAAGGGGAUAAAGAAUUUAUGCGAGUAUACAGUACCUUGUCUUACAUUUUGAACUUCUUAUAAGGAUGCAGCACAUUUUCAUUUUCCAUUAUUUUUAAACUAUAGGAUUUAACUUUGGCAGAACUGGCAUGUGAGAAUAUAUGCAUGCUGCACCUUUUCUCUGCUUUGAAUGCAAAUCACAGUUAGAUCCUUGGAGCGCAUCCCCAAGCUAGAUGAACCAAACUUGAAUUAGUGUAGAAAAAACAGAAUCUUAAGUCCUACUACGACUACUACUACUACUACUACGACUACUACCACUACUACUACGACUACUACUACUACGACUACUAAUACUACUACGACUACUACUAUUUUGUUGCUUGAAAAAUAAUC